GGUUAAGCGACUAAGCGUACACGGUGGAUGCCCUGGCAGUCAGAGGCGAUGAAGGACGUGCUAAUCUGCGAUAAGCGUCGGUAAGGUGAUAUGAACCGUUAUAACCGGCGAUUUCCGAAUGGGGAAACCCAGUGUGAUUCGUCACACUAUCAUUACGUGAAUACAUAGCGUAAUGAAGCGAACCGGGGGAACUGAAACAUCUAAGUACCCCGAGGAAAAGAAAUCAACCGAGAUUCCCCCAGUAGCGGCGAGCGAACGGGGAGGAGCCCAGAGCCUGAAUCAGUGUGUGUGUUAGUGGAAGCGUCUGGAAAGGCGCGCGAUACAGGGUGACAGCCCCGUACACAAAAAUGCACAUGCUGUGAGCUCGAAGAGUAGGGCGGGACACGUGGUAUCCUGUCUGAAUAUGGGGGGACCAUCCUCCAAGGCUAAAUACUCCUGACUGACCGAUAGUGAACCAGUACCGUGAGGGAAAGGCGAAAAGAACCCCGGCGAGGGGAGUGAAAAAGAACCUGAAACCGUGUACGUACAAGCAGUGGGAGCCUCUUAAUGGGGUGACUGCGUACCUUUUGUAUAAUGGGUCAGCGACUUAUAUUCUGUAGCAAGGUUAACCGAAUAGGGGAGCCGGAGGGAAACCGAGUCUUAACUGGGCGUUAAGUUGCAGGGUAUAGACCCGAAACCCGGUGAUCUAGCCAUGGGCAGGUUGAAGGUUGGGUAACACUAACUGGAGGACCGAACCGACUAAUGUUGAAAAAUUAGCGGAUGACUUGUGGCUGGGGGUGAAAGGCCAAUCAAACCGGGAGAUAGCUGGUUCUCCCCGAAAGCUAUUUAGGUAGCGCCUCGUGAAUUCAUCUCCGGGGGUAGAGCACUGUUUCGGCAAGGGGGUCAUCCCGACUUACCAACCCGAUGCAAACUGCGAAUACCGGAGAAUGUUAUCACGGGAGACACACGGCGGGUGCUAACGUCCGUCGUGAAGAGGGAAACAACCCAGACCGCCAGCUAAGGUCCCAAAGUCAUGGUUAAGUGGGAAACGAUGUGGGAAGGCCCAGACAGCCAGGAUGUUGGCUUAGAAGCAGCCAUCAUUUAAAGAAAGCGUAAUAGCUCACUGGUCGAGUCGGCCUGCGCGGAAGAUGUAACGGGGCUAAAUAAACCAUGCACCGAAGCUGCGGCAGCGACGCUGAUGCGUUGUUGGGUAGGGGAGCGUUCUGUAAGCCUGUGAAGGUGUGCUGUGAGGCAUGCUGGAGGUAUCAGAAGUGCGAAUGCUGACAUAAGUAACGAUAAAGCGGGUGAAAAGCCCGCUCGCCGGAAGACCAAGGGUUCCUGUCCAACGUUAAUCGGGGCAGGGUGAGUCGACCCCUAAGGCGAGGCCGAAAGGCGUAGUCGAUGGGAAACAGGUUAAUAUUCCUGUACUUGGUGUUACUGCGAAGGGGGGACGGAGAAGGCUAUGUUGGCCGGGCGACGGUUGUCCCGGUUUAAGCGUGUAGGCUGGUUUUCCAGGCAAAUCCAGAGAAUCAAGGCUGAGGCGUGAUGACGAGGCACUACGGUGCUGAAGCAACAAAUGCCCUGCUUCCAGGAAAAGCCUCUAAGCAUCAGGUAGCAUCAAAUCGUACCCCAAACCGACACAGGUGGUCAGGUAGAGAAUACCAAGGCGCUUGAGAGAACUCGGGUGAAGGAACUAGGCAAAAUGGUGCCGUAACUUCGGGAGAAGGCACGCUGAUGGUAGGUGAAGCGACUUGCUCGUGGAGCUGAAAUCAGUCGAAGAUACCAGCUGGCUGCAACUGUUUAUUAAAAACACAGCACUGUGCAAACACGAAAGUGGACGUAUACGGUGUGACGCCUGCCCGGUGCCGGAAGGUUAAUUGAUGGGGUCAGCGCAAGCGAAGCUCUUGAUCGAAGCCCCGGUAAACGGCGGCCGUAACUAUAACGGUCCUAAGGUAGCGAAAUUCCUUGUCGGGUAAGUUCCGACCUGCACGAAUGGCGUAAUGAUGGCCAGGCUGUCUCCACCCGAGACUCAGUGAAAUUGAACUCGCUGUGAAGAUGCAGUGUACCCGCGGCAAGACGGAAAGACCCCGUGAACCUUUACUAUAGCUUGACACUGAACACUGGUCCUUGAUGUGUAGGAUAGGUGGGAGGCUUUGAAGUGUGGACGCCAGUCUGCAUGGAGCCGUCCUUGAAAUACCACCCUUUAAUGGCUGGUGUUCUAACGUUGGCCCCUUAUCGGGGUUGCGGACAGUGUCUGGUGGGUAGUUUGACUGGGGCGGUCUCCUCCUAAAGAGUAACGGAGGAGCACGAAGGUUGGCUAAUCCUGGUCGGACAUCAGGAGGUUAGUGCAAUGGCAUAAGCCAGCUUGACUGCGAGCGUGACGGCGCGAGCAGGUGCGAAAGCAGGUCAUAGUGAUCCGGUGGUUCUGAAUGGAAGGGCCAUCGCUCAACGGAUAAAAGGUACUCCGGGGAUAACAGGCUGAUACCGCCCAAGAGUUCAUAUCGACGGCGGUGUUUGGCACCUCGAUGUCGGCUCAUCACAUCCUGGGGCUGAAGUAGGUCCCAAGGGUAUGGCUGUUCGCCAUUUAAAGUGGUACGCGAGCUGGGUUUAGAACGUCGUGAGACAGUUCGGUCCCUAUCUGCCGUGGGCGCUGGAGAACUGAGGGGGGCUGCUCCUAGUACGAGAGGACCGGAGUGGACGCAUCACUGGUGUUCGGGUUGUCAUGCCAAUGGCACUGCCCGGUAGCUAAAUGCGGAAGAGAUAAGUGCUGAAAGCAUCUAAGCACGAAACUUGCCCCGAGAUGAGUUCUCCCUGAGACUUAGAGUCUCCUGAAGGAACGUUGAAGACGACGACGUUGAUAGGCCGGGUGUGUAAGCGCAGCGAUGCGUUGAGCUAACCGGUACUAAUGAACCGUGAGGCUUAACCUU
RNAcentral lists this ribosomal RNA (2906 nucleotides) under Escherichia albertii. RNAcentral's name for it is "23S ribosomal RNA". It matches the Rfam family "Bacterial large subunit ribosomal RNA". The record is from RNAcentral. Lineage: Bacteria; Pseudomonadati; Pseudomonadota; Gammaproteobacteria; Enterobacterales; Enterobacteriaceae.